Stomoxys calcitrans (stable fly) is the source of this 710-nucleotide long non-coding RNA. RefSeq lists it as uncharacterized. NCBI's taxonomy places the organism in Eukaryota, Metazoa, Arthropoda, Insecta, Diptera, Muscidae. The record is from RefSeq and is a predicted model, not a curated record. The transcript has 2 exons.
GGCAGCGGUGGUUAGUUAGCUGACGAACUGAUUCCCAAGCUUGACUUCAUACAUCCACCAUGCGUUCAUACAUUUCGACGUCCGUUGACUGUCUGUCCGUCUGUCCGUCCGUCGGUUUUCUGUUUCGUUGGCUCAUAAAUAGUAAUUUGUGUUAAUUGUGAUAUAAAAAACGAUAAACUAAUCGGCCCCCAACAACAACAACAGCAACAACAGCAACAGCACUAACAACUGAAAUGAAAUCGCCUUGCCUGCAAUUAUUGCAACAACAACUACACCACCAGGCAACGAAUGCUGCAUUUGUACCCCUCAACAACAACAACAACCACAGAGUUCCUUGGAAAAUUAAUAUCAUUUUACGAAAAUAACAAUGGAGUUAUCAGGGAAUUGUUAAAUGCAACACAAACAAACAAAAAAAAACAGAAAUAAAAACCAAUUUACAUUUUUCUACAAAUCUCAACAAACGAACUUCCGCAGAGAUGGGCAAUACACAUUUAUCAAAUUUAAAUUUUUUUUGUAGACAAUCGAAUGGAAUCUCUGAAGCUGAAAGCCACACCACAAGUAGUUAUAGGUGGCGAUUGAAAGAAUAAUCAACAAUCUUAGUAUUCUGUGGCUUGUUGGCAAAUUUGAUCAUUAAUUUUUUCAUUGUCAACUUAGCCAUCUCUGGCCUAUGGCUUUUCAUAUAAACAAGAAAUAAAUUUUACUUUGAUGAA